Molecule: ribosomal RNA, 292 nt
Filed under: uncultured bacterium
Lineage: Bacteria
Description: partial 16S ribosomal RNA
Rfam family: Bacterial small subunit ribosomal RNA
Source: RNAcentral
GUGUCAGCAGCCGCGGUAAUACGUAGGGACCGAGCGUUGUCCGGAUUCAUUGGGCGUAAAGAGCUCGUAGGCGGCCACUCAAGUCGAAUGUGAAACCUCGAGGCUUAACCUCGAGCCUGCAUUCGAUACUGGGCGGCUAGAGUCUGGUAGGGGGAUCUGGAAUUCCUGGUGUAGCGGUGGAAUGCGCAGAUAUCAGGAGGAACACCGGUGGCGAAGGCGGGAUCCUGGGCCAGUACUGACGCUGAGGAGCGAAAGCGUGGGGAGCAAACAGGAUUAGAUACCCUGGUAGUCC